RNAcentral lists this ribosomal RNA (449 nucleotides) under uncultured bacterium. RNAcentral's name for it is "bacterial SSU rRNA". It matches the Rfam family "Bacterial small subunit ribosomal RNA", at positions 329 to 793 of the family's 1533-position model. The record is from RNAcentral.
UACCAGACUCCUACGGGAGGCAGCAGUGGGGAAUAUUGCACAAUGGGGGAAACCCUGAUGCAGCGACACCGCGUGAGCGAUGAAGUAUUUCGGUAUGUAAAGCUCUAUCAGCAGGGAAGAAAAUGACGGUACCUGACUAAGAAGCCCCGGCUAACUACGUGCCAGCAGCCGCGGUAAUACGUAGGGGGCAAGCGUUAUCCGGAUUUACUGGGUGUAAAGGGAGCGUAGACGGCUGUGCAAGCCAGAUGUGAAAGCCCGGGGCUCAACCCCGGGACUGCAUUUGGAACUGUGUGGCUGGAGUGUCGGAGAGGCAGGCGGAAUUCCUAGUGUAGUGGUGAAAUGCGUAGAUAUUAGGAGGAACACCAGUGGCGAAGGCGGCCUGCUGGACGAUGACUGACGUUGAGGCUCGAAAGCGUGGGGAGCAAACAGGAUUAGAUACCCCGGUACCG